Molecule: ribosomal RNA, 407 nt
Filed under: uncultured bacterium
Lineage: Bacteria
Description: bacterial SSU rRNA
Rfam family: Bacterial small subunit ribosomal RNA
Source: RNAcentral
UGGGGGAUAUUGCACAAUGGAGGAAACUCUGAUGCAGCAACGCCGCGUGAGGGAAGAAGGUUUUCGGAUUGUAAACCUCUGUCCUAGUUGAAGAAAAAAAUGACGGUAAACUAGGAGGAAGCUCCGGCUAACUACGUGCCAGCAGCCGCGGUAAUACGUAGGGAGCAAGCGUUGUCCGGAAUUACUGGGUGUAAAGGGUGCGUAGGCGGGUUUGCAAGUCAGGCGUGAAAACUACAGGCUUAACCUGUAGACUGCGUUUGAAACUGUGAAUCUUGAGUGAAGUAGAGGUAAGUGGAAUUCCCGGUGUAGCGGUGAAAUGCGUAGAGAUCGGGAGGAACACCAGUGGCGAAGGCGACUUACUGGGCUUUAACUGACGCUGAGGCACGAAAGCAUGGGUAGCAAACAGG